CCUACGGGUGGCAGCAGUGAGGAAUAUUGGUCAAUGGACGCGAGUCUGAACCAGCCAAGUAGCGUGAAGGAUGACUGCCCUAUGGGUUGUAAACUUCUUUUAUAUGGGAAUAAAAUGUUCCACGUGUGGGAUUUUGUAUGUACCAUAUGAAUAAGGAUCGGCUAACUCCGUGCCAGCAGCCGCGGUAAUACGGAGGAUCCGAGCGUUAUCCGGAUUUAUUGGGUUUAAAGGGAGCGUAGGUGGAUUGUUAAGUCAGUUGUGAAAGUUUGCGGCUCAACCGUAAAAUUGCAGUUGAAACUGGCAGUCUUGAGUACAGUAGAGGUGGGCGGAAUUCGUGGUGUAGCGGUGAAAUGCUUAGAGAUCACGAAGAACUCCGAUUGCGAAGGCAGUUCACUGGACUGCAACUGACACUGAGGCUCGAAAGUGUGGGUAUCAAACAGGAUUAGAUACCCCUGUAGUC
This 460-nucleotide ribosomal RNA is filed under the name uncultured bacterium. RNAcentral's name for it is "partial 16S ribosomal RNA". It matches the Rfam family "Bacterial small subunit ribosomal RNA", at positions 338 to 795 of the family's 1533-position model. The record is from RNAcentral.